RNAcentral lists this ribosomal RNA (433 nucleotides) under uncultured bacterium. Its description in RNAcentral is "partial 16S ribosomal RNA". It matches the Rfam family "Bacterial small subunit ribosomal RNA", at positions 29 to 507 of the family's 1533-position model. The record is from RNAcentral.
AACGAACGCUGGCGGCAUGCCUAACACAUGCAAGUCGAACGAGACCUUCGGGUCUAGUGGCGCACGGGUGCGUAACGCGUGGGAACCUGCCCUUAGGUUCGGAAUCACUCCCCGAAAGGGGUGCUAAUACCGGAUAAUGUCUUCGGACCAAAGAUUUAUCGCCUUUGGAUGGGCCCGCGUUGGAUUAGCUAGUUGGUAGGGUAAAAGCCUACCAAGGCGACGAUCCAUAGCUGGUCUGAGAGGAUGAUCAGCCACACUGGGACUGAGACACGGCCCAGACUCCUACGGGAGGCAGCAGUGGGGAAUAUUGGACAAUGGGCGAAAGCCUGAUCCAGCAAUGCCGCGUGAGUGAUGAAGGCCUUAGGGUUGUAAAGCUCUUUGACCCGGGAUGAUAAUGACAGUACCGGGAGAAUAAGCUCCGGCUAACUCCGUG